This is a long non-coding RNA of Melospiza georgiana, 473 nucleotides long. RefSeq lists it as uncharacterized. The record is from RefSeq and is a predicted model, not a curated record. The transcript is spliced from 3 exons. Lineage: Eukaryota; Metazoa; Chordata; Aves; Passeriformes; Passerellidae.
UUCUGUGAUGACACUCCUGUCUGUCCCAUAAAAUCUUGAGGUUCAGCAGUGACAGUGGCCUUCCUUCAAAGGGCUGUAGUAGCCAUGAAAGGCUUUCUCUCAACUUGCUCUACUCAGAAAACAUCAUCUGAGGUAUGGCUCUCUGAGUCAAGCAAACCUGAUCUGUGCUUCUUCAGGGUAAAAACUCUUUGCUUUGCCAGUCCCCAUCCUGCUGUCCAUCUGCUUGAGAAAUGUGGGAAGAGAGGCUGUCAUUGAAGACAGAACCCACUGGAGUGCUGGCCUGGAUUUGGGAGGAGCCAAUUAGCCUGGAGCUGUGAGAUUUUUCCUGUCAGAAAUCCAUGAUGGAGAUGUUCUUCCUGGUUGUCCCAAAGGGAAGGUGGGACCAGGUAAGAAUAGAAAUGGGAUUGUUUUGGCUGCUGUUGGAUGUUGUUUUCUCUUUUCAAGAUGUUCCUCUGAUUGAUGUUUUCACAGUA